CUGACUGCUAUCUGAUUGAUACUAAGCCAUGCGAGUCAUUGUACCAAUACCAGGCUGACGGCUCUUGGCCCGUAGUAACCUAACCUAUGGACGUGGAUAACCUCGGGAAACUGACAAUAAAACACUAUACAUCAUGAUGCCCGGAAUGGCUUAUGGUUCAAACCAUUUAUUGCCUGACGAUGGGACUGCGGCCUAUCAGCUUGUUGGUGAGGUAAUGGCCCACCAAGGCUAUCACAGGUACGGGCUCUGAGAGGAGAAGCCCGGAGAUGGGUACUGACAUACGGACCCAGGCCCUAUGGGGCGCAUUUAGCCAAAAACCUUAGCAGGUGCGAAAGCACGACUAGGUUAAUCCGAGUGGUUCCAGCUAACGGAACCUUUUGUCUAUCGUAAAACCACAGACCAAUAAGGGGUGGGCAAGUCUGGUGUCAGCCGCCGCGAUAAUACCAGCACCUCUUGUGGUCAGGACGUUUAUUGGGCCUAAAGCAUCCGUAGCCGGCUACGCAAGUCUUCGGUUAAAUCCAACUGCUCAACAGAUGGGUUGCCGGACAUACUACAUAUCUCGGGAGCGGGAGAGGCAGACGGUAUUCGGUGGGUAGGGGUAAAAUCCACUGAUCCAUCCAGGACCAUCAUUGGCGAAAGCGGUCUGCCAGAACGCGUUCUACUGUGAGGGAUGAAAGCUGGGGGAGCACACCAGAUUUCAUGCUCUGUUAGUCGUUUCUGUAAGCGAUGCACACUCAGUGAUGCGUUUGCUUAUGGCCUACUCAGUGCCGCACGUAAGCCUUUAAGUAUGCCGCCUGGGAAGUACGGACGCUCCUCUGACACUUAAAGGCAUUGGCG
RNAcentral lists this ribosomal RNA (837 nucleotides) under uncultured archaeon. RNAcentral's name for it is "bacterial SSU rRNA". It matches the Rfam family "Archaeal small subunit ribosomal RNA", at positions 23 to 870 of the family's 1478-position model. The record is from RNAcentral.